CCGUAUAUUAAAGUUGUUGCAGUUAAGAGCUCGUAGUUGAAUUUCUGCUUAUCAUUAAUUUCGCUUCCGAACGUAAUUUUAUUGACUUGGCAUCUUCUGGAUUAUAUAUUAUUUUUAAUAUAUUUUUCCAGUAUUUUACUUUGAGAAAACUAGAGUGUUUCAAACAGGCUUUUGCCUUGAAUACUACAGCAUGGAAUAAUGAAGUAGGACUAUUGGUUCUAUUUUGUUGGUUAUCGAACCAUAGUAAUGGUUAAUAGGAGCAGUUGGGGGCAUUCGUAUUUAACUGUCAGAGGUGAAAUUCUU
RNAcentral lists this ribosomal RNA (303 nucleotides) under Babesia vulpes. RNAcentral describes it as "SSU rRNA". It matches the Rfam family "Eukaryotic small subunit ribosomal RNA", at positions 597 to 921 of the family's 1831-position model. Lineage: Eukaryota; Apicomplexa; Aconoidasida; Piroplasmida; Babesiidae. The record is from RNAcentral.